GAGGGUAUAGCUCAAGUGGUAGAGUGCAUGUUUAGCAUGCAUGAGGUCCUGGGUUCAACCCCCAGUACCUCCU
RNAcentral lists this transfer RNA (73 nucleotides) under Camelus bactrianus (Bactrian camel). It matches the Rfam family "tRNA". Rfam says of the family: Transfer RNA (tRNA) molecules are approximately 80 nucleotides in length. Their secondary structure includes four short double-helical elements and three loops (D, anti-codon, and T loops). Further hydrogen bonds mediate the characteristic L-shaped molecular structure. tRNAs have two regions of fundamental functional importance: the anti-codon, which is responsible for specific mRNA codon recognition, and the 3' end, to which the tRNAs corresponding amino acid is attached (by aminoacyl-tRNA synthetases). tRNAs cope with the degeneracy of the genetic code in two manners: having more than one tRNA (with a specific anti-codon) for a particular amino acid; and 'wobble' base-pairing, i.e. permitting non-standard base-pairing at the 3rd anti-codon position. Lineage: Eukaryota; Metazoa; Chordata; Mammalia; Artiodactyla; Camelidae. The record is from Rfam by way of RNAcentral. RNAcentral also lists the same sequence under 2 other names.